AAGUUUGACCUCACGGUAUAAAAGUUAUAGAGUCAUAAAGUUUUAACCAAAAAAAAAUAAAUUAAAAAAAAGAGGGAUGCAACACGAGGACUUCCCGGGAGGUCACCCAUCCUAGAACAACUCUCCCCCAAGCACGCUUAACUAAAGGUCAAAAUUUGGAGUCGACAAAAAACAAUGGAUAUGUUCCAUUGUCCUGCUUCUUUCAUUUGAGGGCUCUCUUUGGGCUUUACGAAAAGGUAUCAAAUGCCAAGUUUGGCCUCACUGUAUAAAAGUUAUAGAGUCAUACAGUUUUAAUCAAAGAAAAAAAUUUAAAAAAAAAAAAGAAUGAAACACGAGGACUUCCCGGGAGGUCACCCAUACUAGUACUACUCUCACCCAAGCACGCUUAACUGCGGUGUUCUGAUGGGAUCCGGUGUAUUAGUGCUUUUAUGAUCGCAUCCGUUAGUAUAUGCAAUGCAAUCGUAUAUAUUCUUUUUUAAAGACUUGAUGAACCAUUCGCCAUGGGUUCCACCCGCUAUGUAGGGAUACCCCAUCUAUUUUUAACGAGCUUUGAUGCAUGAAAAAAUUCUAAAACAAUGCUUGAACAAGUAAUUUUGGGUCCGUAAUAUAGCCCAAAUCACAAAAAUGCUCGAAAGAGUACUUAAAGGUCAAAAUUUGGGAUCGACAAAAAGUCAAUGGAAAAGUUCCUUUGUCCUGCUUCUUUCGUCGGAGGGCUCUCUUUGGGCUUUACGAAAAGGUAUCACAUGCCAAGUUUGGCCUCACGGUAUAAAAGUUAUAGAAUCAUAAAGUUUUAACCAAAAAAAA
This 804-nucleotide small RNA is filed under the name Arabidopsis thaliana (thale cress). RNAcentral's name for it is "ATSL274910". The record is from RNAcentral. Lineage: Eukaryota; Viridiplantae; Streptophyta; Magnoliopsida; Brassicales; Brassicaceae.